Long non-coding RNA from Maniola jurtina (meadow brown), 149 nucleotides. RefSeq lists it as uncharacterized. The transcript is spliced from 2 exons. NCBI's taxonomy places the organism in Eukaryota, Metazoa, Arthropoda, Insecta, Lepidoptera, Nymphalidae. The record is from RefSeq and is a predicted model, not a curated record.
CGAUUGUAUGGAGUAAGUGACGGAGACAGCCCUUUUAACACGAUUUUUUGUAUUGAAUAAAGCAUAACUUCAUUCAAAAAUUUAUGUGAAAAUAAACUAUGUUCUUUAAAGAAUCUAUUUAUGUAGUUUUGGUGACAAUCCAUUUAUUU